UACGGAGGGUGCAAGUGUUGUUCGGAUUUAUUGGGCGUAAAGCGCGUGUAGGCGGUUUCUUAAGUCUGAUGUGAAAGCCCCGGGCUCAACCCGGGAAGUGCAUUGGAUACUGGGAGACUUGAAUACGGGAGAGGGUAGUGGAAUUCCUAGUGUAGGAGUGAAAUCCGUAGAUAUUAGGAGGAACACCGGUGGCGAAGGCGGCUACCUGGACCGAUAUUGACGCUGAGACGCGAAAGCGUGGGGAGCAAACAGG
This 253-nucleotide ribosomal RNA is filed under the name uncultured bacterium. RNAcentral's name for it is "partial 16S ribosomal RNA". It matches the Rfam family "Bacterial small subunit ribosomal RNA", at positions 524 to 776 of the family's 1533-position model. The record is from RNAcentral.